CCUACGGGUGGCAGCAGUGAGGAAUAUUGGUCAAUGGCCGGAAGGCUGAACCAGCCAUGCCGCGUGAAGGUCAGUGCCCUAUGGGCGUUAAACUUCUUUUGUGCGGGAGCAAUAAUGGUCACGUGUGGCCAGACGAGAGUACCGUACGAAUAAGCAUCGGCUAACUCCGUGCCAGCAGCCGCGGUAAUACGGGGGAUGCAAGCGUUAUCCGGAUUUAUUGGGUUUAAAGGGUGCGUAGGCGGUGAGGUAAGGCAGCGGUGAAAUGCCCCCGCUCAACGGGGUGAAGUGCCAUUGAUACUGGCUGGCUGGAAUGCGGAUGCCGUGGGAGGAAUGUGUGGUGUAGCGGUGAAAUGCAUAGAUAUCGCACAGAACACCGAUUGCGAAGGCAUCUCACGAAUCCGCGAUUGACGCUGAUGCACGAAAGCGUGGGUAUCAAACAGGAUUAGAUACCCGUGUAGUC
Molecule: ribosomal RNA, 460 nt
Filed under: uncultured bacterium
Lineage: Bacteria
Description: partial 16S ribosomal RNA
Rfam family: Bacterial small subunit ribosomal RNA
Source: RNAcentral